UACGGAGGGGGCCAGCGUUGCUCGGAAUUAUUGGGCGUAAAGGGCGCGUAGGCGGCUUUGCGUGUCUUUCGUGAAAUCCCUCGGCUCAACUGAGGACGUGCGGAAGAAACUGCAGGGCUGGAGUCCGGGAGAGGAGGGUGGAAUUCCCAGUGUAGCGGUGAAAUGCGUAGAUAUCGGGAGGAACACCAGUGGCGAAGGCGACUUCCUGGCCUGUUCUUGACGCUGAGGCGCGAAAGCUAGGGGAGCAAACGGG
RNAcentral lists this ribosomal RNA (253 nucleotides) under uncultured bacterium. RNAcentral describes it as "partial 16S ribosomal RNA". It matches the Rfam family "Bacterial small subunit ribosomal RNA", at positions 524 to 776 of the family's 1533-position model. The record is from RNAcentral.